GAAAUGCGAUAAGUAAUGUGAAUUGCAGAAUUCAGUGAAUCAUCGAAUCUUUGAACGCACAUUGCGCCCGCCAGCACUCUGGCGGGCAUGCCUGUUCGAGCGUCAUUUCAACCCUCAGAACCCCUUGCGGGAUCUGGCGUUGGGGAUUGGCAUCCAGCCAGCCCCGAAAUCUAGUGGCGGUCCCUCCGCGACCUCCCCUGUGCAGUAGCGAUACCUCGCAGCGGGACAGCGGUCUGACCACGCCGUAAAACCCCCAACUUCUCAAGGUUGACCUCGAAUCAGGUAGGAAUACUCGCUGAACUUAAGC
This 307-nucleotide unclassified non-coding RNA is filed under the name plant metagenome. RNAcentral describes it as "partial contains 5.8S ribosomal RNA, internal transcribed spacer 2, and large subunit ribosomal RNA". The stretch from base 1 to 105 matches the Rfam family "5.8S ribosomal RNA", at positions 50 to 154 of the family's 154-position model. The record is from RNAcentral.